Molecule: ribosomal RNA, 427 nt
Filed under: uncultured bacterium
Lineage: Bacteria
Description: partial 16S ribosomal RNA
Rfam family: Bacterial small subunit ribosomal RNA
Source: RNAcentral
UGGGGAAUAUUGCACAAUGGGCGCAAGCCUGAUGCAGCCAUGCCGCGUGUAUGGAGAAGGCCUUCGGGUUGUAAAGUACUUUCAGCGAGGAGGAAGGCGUUGUGGUUAAUAACCGCAACGAUUGACGUUACUCGCAGAAGAAGCACCGGCUAACUCCGUGCCAGCAGCCGCAGUAAUACGGAGGGUGCAAGCGUUAAUCGGAAUUACUGGGCGUAAAGCGCACGCAGGCGGUCUGUCAAGUCGGAUGUGAAAUCCCCGGGCUCAACCUGGGAACUGCAUCCGAAACUGGCAGGCUAGAGUCUUGUAGAGGGGGGUAGAAUUCCAGGUGUAGCGGUGAAAUGCGUAGAGAUCUGGAGGAAUACCGGUGGCGAAGGCGGCCCCCUGGACAAAGACUGACGCUCAGGUGCGAAAGCGUGGGGAGCAAACA